Molecule: ribosomal RNA, 942 nt
Filed under: uncultured bacterium
Lineage: Bacteria
Description: bacterial SSU rRNA
Rfam family: Bacterial small subunit ribosomal RNA
Source: RNAcentral
AGAGUUUGAUCCUGGCUCAGGAUGAACGCUAGCGGCGUGCUUGAUCCAUGCAAGUCGAACGCACUGGCAAGGCGUGAAAGCCUCGGAAGGGGGCAGCGCGGGGGAAACCCCGUUAAGCCUCUGGAAGAGGGGGAAGCGCAGCGCCGGUGAGUGGCGGACGGGUGAGUAACACGUAGGAAUCUAUCCCAAAGUGGGGAAUAACUGCUCGAAAGGGCAGCUAAUUCCGCAUGUGAUCCGCGAGGAUGAAAGGGGCAACUCGCUUUGGGAGGAGCCUGCGGCCGAUUAGCUAGUUGGUGGGGUAAAGGCCUACCAAGGCGAUGAUCGGUAGCUGGUCUGAGAGGACGAUCAGCCACACUGGAACUGACACACGGUCCAGACUCCUACGGGAGGCAGCAGGAAGGAAUAUUGCCCAAUGGGGGAAACCCUGAGGCAGCAACGCCGCGUGAGCGAUGAAGGCCUUCGGGCCGUAAAGCUCUUUUCUGCGGGAAGAGGAAGGACGGUACCGCAGGAACAAGUCUCGGCUAACUACGUGCCAGCAGCCGCGGUAAAACGUAGGAGGCAAGCGUUAUCCGGAUUCACUGGGCGUAAAGGGCAAGUAGGCGGUAGCCAAAGUUGGGCGUGACAUCCCCUGGCUUAACUGGGGGGGGUCGUUCAAAACUAGGUUACUUGAGGGCAGGAGAGGGAAGCGGAAUUCCUAGUGUAGCGGUGGAAUGCUCAGAUAUUAGGAAGAACACCAGUGGCGAAGGCGGCUUCCUGGCCUGCACCUGACGCUGAGAGGCGAAAGCUAGGGGAGCGAACGGGCUUAGAUACCCCGGUAGUCCUAGCUGUAAACGUUGGAUACUGGGUAUUGGGGGUAUCAACUCCCUCAGUGCCGAAGCUAACGCGUUAAGUAUCCCGCCUGGGGACUACGGCCGCAAGGUUAAAACUCAAAGGAAUUGACGG